GACAGAGGGUGCAAACGUUGCUCGGAAUUACUGGGCGUAAAGCGCGUGUAGGCGGUUUCGCAAGUCAGGUGUGAAAGCCCGGGGCUCAACCCCGGAAGUGCACAUGAUACUACGGAGCUGGAGUACUGAAGAGGAGAGCGGAAUUCCCGGUGUAGAGGUGAAAUUCGUAGAUAUCGGGAGGAACACCAGUGGCGAAGGCGGCUCUCUGGGCAGAUACUGACGCUGAGACGCGAAAGCAUGGGGAGCAAACAGG
RNAcentral lists this ribosomal RNA (253 nucleotides) under uncultured bacterium. RNAcentral describes it as "partial 16S ribosomal RNA". It matches the Rfam family "Bacterial small subunit ribosomal RNA", at positions 524 to 776 of the family's 1533-position model. The record is from RNAcentral.